This 466-nucleotide ribosomal RNA is filed under the name uncultured bacterium. RNAcentral describes it as "bacterial SSU rRNA". It matches the Rfam family "Bacterial small subunit ribosomal RNA", at positions 1043 to 1509 of the family's 1533-position model. The record is from RNAcentral.
GCAUGGCUGUCGUCAGCUCGUGUUGUGAAAUGUUGGGUUAAGUCCCGCAACGAGCGCAACCCUUAUCCUUUGUUGCCAGCGGCUCGGCCGGGAACUCAAAGGAGACUGCCGGUGAUAAACCGGAGGAAGGUGGGGAUGACGUCAAGUCAUCAUGGCCCUUACGGCCAGGGCUACACACGUGCUACAAUGGCGCAUACAAAGAGAAGCGACCUCGCGAGAGCAAGCGGACCUCACAAAGUGCGUCGUAGUCCGGAUUGGAGUCUGCAACUCGACUCCAUGAAGUCGGAAUCGCUAGUAAUCGUAGAUCAGAAUGCUACGGUGAAUACGUUCCCGGGCCUUGUACACACCGCCCGUCACACCAUGGGAGUGGGUUGCAAAAGAAGUAGGUAGCUUAACCUUCGGGAGGGCGCUUACCACUUUGUGAUUCAUGACUGGGGUGAAGUCGUAACAAGGUAGGCGUAGCGAG